CUAGAUGACUACAACAUGUUUUUAAUAAAAGAAUCAAUUAGUAAAUAAUUUAAUAAGCUCAUGACUUCAUAUGUUAAACUAGGACAGAAUUUCUAGGAAAGUUAAACUCAUCUAAGCUGAUAGAACCCAUAAUAAAACCUCCAAACAUUCAACAAUACUAAAAAUGAACUCGAAGAAAUGAUGUAAGUCACACUCAAUAGUUCCCCUCCAUAUUGUAACUCAACAUUGAAAUAGAGGUCCACGUCUAAGAUAUUAAAAAAUUACAAGGAUAUGUAGAGUAAAAGAUGGGCCUUAGUUACAUGAAUCAAAUACAUGUCUUUAUCUUUUAGAAACAAACACCACCUGAAUCAAACCCCACAUAAUACUUGCUAAACACAUAGAGAUAUACAUGAAUUAACAAAAACAUGAAAGCUACUUUAUUAAAAUAACACAAUUGUAUCAAUCCAAAUUGUUCACAUCUUCACAUUAGAACUUGCUGCUCAAAGUUUCAGAGUAGUACCUGGAUACAACAAUCAACAACAAAAGAAAAUAUGUUGGGGAAUUAAAAAAUUGAUAGGUUCAAUAGCAGCAGUAAGUCAGCAUCUCAAAACACAUCAAUAUUUAGCUCUUUCAAACCACUUUUAACCCCAGAAAAAAAGAAAUUCUUUGAAAUUUUAAAAUUUUGACUAACAAUGAAGACCAAAGUGCAAAACCAAAACAAAUUUCCACCAAAAAAUACAAGAACUUUUCAGUAUUUUUUUAAGUAUGAAUGGCCGCUCAAACUAAGAGAAAAGAGCUCUAAUAUAGAUAAUCCUAAGGCAGCCCUAGCAUGUCUAACCAUUUCCCUUUUUACCCUUCCAAUUCUUGGUUAUUUUACCCUUUUUAACCAUUCAAGAUAUCAAAAAGUUCGCAUCUAUUAACUAACUUGCCCAACCUUAUCCUCUAGAAGUUUCUAUACUAACUGAACAAUGUUCCCUAAUUUUAAAAUACCCAAAUUAUCCCUUUACACCCCGAUUUUGUACAUUCAAAAUGCAUCAUUCCUAGGUCAAAUUGUACCAAGACCCAAAUGAAUGGGCCUCUUAAACGGGUUAGAGAUAACCAAAAGCCCAAUCAACCAAAGUGACCAAACAAUAUCAAAUUAAGUGUAUAUCAAGAGAAGAAAGAGAACAAAAUCCAGAAUUAAAAGAUUUUGCAAUUAACCGUAAAUUAUGCUAUUAAUCAAUUUGAAAAACAAAGACAAGCUAAGACUAAUUCAGCCAACAAAAAUAACGAAAAAAAUAUAAGCAUGAAAGUAAUAAUAUAUAAAAAAUAGAAAGUGCUGCAAGAACAUAAAAUCAAAAAGGAAAAAGAGGGGAAACAUACAAAUUUAUGCCAGGAUGGACAAAUUGAAACGAUUCGACGAAAGGUGAAAGCAACCGAAGCUUGGCCGGAAUUUGAAAAUUUAGGCAAAAUGUGUCGUUUUUGUAAUGACUCAAAACUUUCAUCAGUCGAUUGCCCUCGUUGAGAGUAAUCUAUUAAUGUAAGAUUCGAGUUAAUACGAGUCAAAAUUUGAGCAAAAAUCAGAGAAAGAAAGGGAAAUUAGGGUUUGUAUUUUCUUAUUUCAGAUCCAAACUUGGGUAAACUUGGUUGGAUUCUAAGGAAUGAUAUUGGUAGAUUUGGAAGAAGCAGGGGUAAGGAUUGCAUAGUUAAAUUUUUUGGGUGGUUGGGUGGUCCGCCGUUGCCGGUGAAGGUUUGGGGAUUUGUGGGCUGCUGGGUUUGAUUAGGGUUUAGUUAGAGACGGACUAGGGUGGGUUUGAAUAGUUUAGAGGGUGGUUUCGGACACUUAUCUAGCUAGGGAAUGAGGAGUUCCGGUCUAUUUGAUCUAAUUAAUCCAAUGUUUAUGAUGAAAAGGUUUCGAAACGGGGUCAUUUCGUUUUAAGGAAAGAUUGGACCAUGUCAAUCGGAUUGGGUUGGGGUGUAUUGGGGUGGAUUG
RNAcentral lists this long non-coding RNA (1951 nucleotides) under Nicotiana benthamiana. Its description in RNAcentral is "long non-coding RNA (NBEN_LNC031066)". Lineage: Eukaryota; Viridiplantae; Streptophyta; Magnoliopsida; Solanales; Solanaceae. The record is from RNAcentral.